RNAcentral lists this ribosomal RNA (253 nucleotides) under uncultured bacterium. Its description in RNAcentral is "partial 16S ribosomal RNA". It matches the Rfam family "Bacterial small subunit ribosomal RNA", at positions 524 to 776 of the family's 1533-position model. The record is from RNAcentral.
UACGGGGGGGGCAAGCGUUGUUCGGAAUUACUGGGCGUAAAGGGCUCGUAGGCGGCCAACUAAGUCAGACGUGAAAUCCCUCGGCUUAACCGGGGAACUGCGUCUGAUACUGGAUGGCUUGAGUUCGGGAGAGGGAUGCGGAAUUCCAGGUGUAGCGGUGAAAUGCGUAGAUAUGUGGAGGAACACCGAUGGCGAAGGCAGCCCCCUGGGUUAACACUGACGCUCAUGCACGAAAGCGUGGGGAGCAAACAGG